This 444-nucleotide ribosomal RNA is filed under the name uncultured bacterium. RNAcentral's name for it is "bacterial SSU rRNA". It matches the Rfam family "Bacterial small subunit ribosomal RNA", at positions 355 to 822 of the family's 1533-position model. The record is from RNAcentral.
UCGGGAAUUUUGGGCAAUGGGGGAAACCCUGACCCAGCAACGCCGCGUGAAGGAUGAAGUAUUUCGGUAUGUAAACUUCGAAAGAAUGGGAAGAAUAAAUGACGGUACUAUUUAUAAGGUCCGGCUAACUACGUGCCAGCAGCCGCGGUAAUACGUAGGGACCAAGCGUUGUUCGGAUUUACUGGGCGUAAAGGGCGCGUAGGCGGCAUGACAAGUCACUUGUGAAAUCUCUGGGCUUAACCCAGAACGGCCAAGUGAUACUGUCGCGCUAGAGUGCAGAAGGGGCAAUCGGAAUUCUUGGUGUAGCGGUGAAAUGCGUAGAUAUCAAGAGGAACACCUGAGGUGAAGACGGGUUGCUGGGCUGACACUGACGCUGAGGCGCGAAAGCCAGGGGAGCAAACGGGAUUAGAUACCCCUGUAGUCCCUGAGCGGGCUGGCAAGGCG